UACGUAGGGUGCGAGCGUUAAUCGGAAUUACUGGGCGUAAAGCGUGCGCAGGCGGUUUUGUAAGCCAGGUGUGAAAUCCCCCGGGCUCAACCUGGGAAUGGCAUUUGGGACUGCAAGGCUGGAGUGCGGCAGAGGAGACUGGAAUUCCUGGUGUAGCAGUGAAAUGCGUAGAUAUCAGGAGGAAUACCGAUGGCGAAGGCAGGUCUCUGGGCUGACACUGACGCUCAUGCACGAAAGCGUGGGGAGCAAACAGG
This 254-nucleotide ribosomal RNA is filed under the name uncultured bacterium. RNAcentral's name for it is "partial 16S ribosomal RNA". It matches the Rfam family "Bacterial small subunit ribosomal RNA", at positions 524 to 776 of the family's 1533-position model. The record is from RNAcentral.